RNAcentral lists this long non-coding RNA (711 nucleotides) under Homo sapiens (human). RNAcentral describes it as "HSALNT0009002". The record is from RNAcentral. Lineage: Eukaryota; Metazoa; Chordata; Mammalia; Primates; Hominidae.
UGAGUUUCCACCGGUGCACACAGGUUGUAGAUUUGAGGGUUUUGUUUCUUUGUUUUUUGAUUUAUUUGUUUAUUUUUGAGUUUUUGGCUAUUUCCUUGAAGAUUAUAGAUCUGAUUCCUUAGGGGAUAUAGCAAAAUGAUCAUGGAUGGAAUUUCAGCACUGUCCACCGUUCCGUUUCCCCUGAGUCAUCACCACAAAGAAAGCUUUCUCUGGACUCUCUCUUCUCUUCCCUGUGAGCCUGUGAGCUCUUAGAGAAUUUCUUGAAGGAAAAACAUGAAAGGGAGGCGUUGACUUUCUUUCUGUAACCUGCAGUAUCUUCACACUCUCAUGCUAGCCCACACUUGACUUUAAGGAAUUCUUAAAAUUCCAAGCUGCAGCUUCUUACUAGUUUCUAUGGUGUUCUGUGGCCUCUACGACAGAUAUGUGUUCGCUGGAUAUAUCUGGGAGAAAAGAGUCUACUUUAUAUUUAUUCAGAAGACAUGAUCAUGUGGAUUUGGGAAGACGUGGGAACAUGGAAGAUUAAGAAAAACACCUGGGAAAAAAUAUCAGCAAUACAGGUUUGUUAAAACUGAACAUGUGGCUGGUCGCGGUGGCUCACGCCUGUAAUCCCAACACUGGGAGGCCGAGGUGGAUGGAUCACGAGGUCAGAAGAUCAAGACCAUCCUGGCUAACACGGUGAAACCCCAUUUCUACUAAAAAUACAAAAAAUUA